Molecule: ribosomal RNA, 433 nt
Filed under: uncultured bacterium
Lineage: Bacteria
Description: partial 16S ribosomal RNA
Rfam family: Bacterial small subunit ribosomal RNA
Source: RNAcentral
AACGAACGCUGGCGGCAUGCCUAACACAUGCAAGUCGAACGAGACCUUCGGGUCUAGUGGCGCACGGGUGCGUAACGCGUGGGAACCUGCCCUUAGGUUCGGAAUAACUCCCCGAAAGGGGUGCUAAUACCGGAUAAUGUCUUCGGACCAAAGAUUUAUCGCCUUUGGAUGGGCCCGCGUUGGAUUAGCUAGUUGGUAGGGUAAAAGCCUACCAAGGCGACGAUCCAUAGCUGGUCUGAGAGGAUGAUCAGCCACACUGGGACUGAGACACGGCCCAGACUCCUACGGGAGGCAGCAGUGGGGAAUAUUGGACAAUGCGCGAAUGCCUGAUCCAGCAAUGCCGCGUGAGUGAUGAAGGCCUUAGGGUUGUAAGGCUCUUUUACCCGGGAUGAUAAUGACAGUACCGAGAGAAUAAGCUCCGGCUAACUCCGUG